AGCGGCAGCGCGGGAGCAAUCCUGGCGGCGAGCGGCGAACGGGUGAGUAAUGCUUCGGAAUCUGCCCAGUAGUGGGGAAUAACCAAUCGAAAGGUUGGCUAAUGCCGCAUACGACCUUAGGGUGAAAGCGGGGGAUCGCAAGACCUCGCGCUAUCGGAUGAGCCGAAGUCGGAUUAGCUAGUUGGUGAGGUAACGGCUCACCAAGGCGACAAUCCGUAGCUGGUCUGAGAGGACGACCAGCCC
This 243-nucleotide ribosomal RNA is filed under the name uncultured bacterium. Its description in RNAcentral is "partial 16S ribosomal RNA". It matches the Rfam family "Bacterial small subunit ribosomal RNA", at positions 65 to 310 of the family's 1533-position model. The record is from RNAcentral.